UACGGGAGGCAGCAGGGGGGAAUAUUGCACAAUGGGCGCAAGCCUGAUGCAGCCAUGCCGCGUGUAUGAAAAAGGCCUUCGGGUUGUAAAGUACUUUCAGUCGUGAGGAAGGUGUUAAGGUUAAUAACCUUAGCAAUUGACGUUAGCGACAGAAGAAGCACCGGCUAACUCCGUGCCAGCAGCCGCGGUAAUACGGAGGGUGCGAGCGUUAAUCGGAAUUACUGGGCGUAAAGGGCACGCAGGCGGUUAAUUAAGUUGGAUGUGAAAUCCCCGGGCUUAACCUGGGAAUGGCAUUCAAGACUGGUUAGCUAGAGUCUUGUAGAGGGGGUAGAAUUCCAUGUGUAGCGGUGAAAUGCGUAGAGAUGUGGAGGAAUACCGGUGGCGAAAGGGCGGCCCCUGGACAAAGACUGACGCUCAUGUGCGAAAGCGUGGGGAGCAAACAGGGAUUAGAUACC
This 455-nucleotide ribosomal RNA is filed under the name uncultured bacterium. RNAcentral describes it as "bacterial SSU rRNA". It matches the Rfam family "Bacterial small subunit ribosomal RNA", at positions 340 to 786 of the family's 1533-position model. The record is from RNAcentral.